UGCAACCUGAAGAGCCACCAGCGCCACG
This 28-nucleotide non-coding RNA is filed under the name Mus musculus (house mouse). The record is from RNAcentral. Lineage: Eukaryota; Metazoa; Chordata; Mammalia; Rodentia; Muridae.